RNAcentral lists this ribosomal RNA (205 nucleotides) under uncultured bacterium. RNAcentral's name for it is "partial 16S ribosomal RNA". It matches the Rfam family "Bacterial small subunit ribosomal RNA", at positions 524 to 726 of the family's 1533-position model. The record is from RNAcentral.
UACGGAGGGUGCGAGCGUUGUCCGGAAUCAUUGGGCGUAAAGGGCGCGUAGGUGGCGGCUUAAGGCGUGCGGUGAAAGCGUCGGGGCUCAACCCCGAGUCGGCCGUGCGAACUGAGUCGCUUGAGCACUGUAGAGGCAGGCGGAAUUCCGGGUGUAGCGGUGGAAUGCGUAGAGAUCCGGAAGAACACCGGUGGCGAAGGCGGCC